Molecule: ribosomal RNA, 465 nt
Filed under: Vreelandella stevensii
Lineage: Bacteria; Pseudomonadati; Pseudomonadota; Gammaproteobacteria; Oceanospirillales; Halomonadaceae
Description: partial 16S ribosomal RNA
Rfam family: Bacterial small subunit ribosomal RNA
Source: RNAcentral
CCUACGGGCGGCAGCAGUGGGGAAUAUUGGACAAUGGGGGGAACCCUGAUCCAGCCAUGCCGCGUGUGUGAAGAAGGCCCUCGGGUUGUAAAGCACUUUCAGUGAGGAAGAACGCCUGGUGGUUAAUACCCAUCAGGAAAGACAUCACUCACAGAAGAAGCACCGGCUAACUCCGUGCCAGCAGCCGCGGUAAUACGGAGGGUGCGAGCGUUAAUCGGAAUUACUGGGCGUAAAGCGCGCGUAGGUGGCUUGAUAAGCCGGUUGUGAAAGCCCCGGGCUCAACCUGGGAACGGCAUCCGGAACUGUCAAGCUAGAGUGCAGAAGAGGAAGGUAGAAUUCCCGGUGUAGCGGUGAAAUGCGUAGAGAUCGGGAGGAAUACCAGUGGCGAAGGCGGCCUUCUGGACUGACACUGACACUGAGGUGCGAAAGCGUGGGUAGCAAACAGGAUUAGAUACCCCGGUAGUC